This is a long non-coding RNA of Lycium barbarum (goji berry), 526 nucleotides long. RefSeq lists it as uncharacterized. The record is from RefSeq and is a predicted model, not a curated record. NCBI's taxonomy places the organism in Eukaryota, Viridiplantae, Streptophyta, Magnoliopsida, Solanales, Solanaceae. The transcript is spliced from 3 exons.
GCAAAGCCCCAUAUUCCAUUUCAGCUAGUUCAAAUAACGUAUUCUUAUGAAAGCAAAAGAGAGACCAAGUUCUAGGUGACAAACAGAGGAUAAUAGUAACGACUUAAAAGCUAUUGCCAUGUCGGUUACGUGAUUCAUCACGUCAAUUUCCUACGGAUCAUAGCGAGUUGGUGAUUUCUUUAGAGUAAAGUAAAAUUGAAGAAGAAUAGUUCUUGGCAUAUAAGGUUUAUCAUAUUAAUUGUGGAAGUUCUUGGCUGGACUGAGCUCUUGAACGACGUAAGGUGCAGAUACUCGCUUUGGAGAUCCACCAGCUUAGGAUUCCCUUUCUGCUGUCUUGGAGAGCUCCGUCGUUCCGGAGCCCAGAUUUUGGUACAGACCCUUUUUGAUGUAUAUAUGUAUAUGUUGUUCAGGGGUACGACGGGGCCCUGUCCCGUCAUAUUUCACUGUUGAAACUCUUAGAGGUCUGUAGACAUGUAUGUGGGUUGUAUUCCGAUGUGGUUAGUUGUGUAUAUGGUCAUUAUGUGUG